UAUUAAUUGAACAAAUUGCAAAAGAUUCAGCAACACAGAUGUCCAGAAUAAUGUGUAAUUGCCCGAUGAAAAGAGACAACUUUUAGCCGCAAAUGGUGCUGCGCUAAUAUGUCCUGACAGUCCGUGACAUCACGCGCACGCGUCAUCAUUCCGCGACGUUUUCAACAAGAAACUCUGCGGCAAAUUUAAAAUUGCAAUUUAGUGAACUAAACCGGCCGUAUUGGCAUGUGUUGCAAUGGUAAUAUUUCAUCAUUGAUAUAUAAACUAUCAGACUGCGUGGUCGGUAGUAGUGGGUUUCAGUAGGCCUUUAAUCUCUCCAAGCCCAUAACAAUAUGCUGCAUUUUGUUCAUGCUAAAUACUGUUGUAACUGAACUGAACAUGUUUGCCCACCAAGGAUACACCGGAAGUGCCAAGAGCACGUGUUUCCAACCCAGCAGACUCUUGGUUAUAUUUGUCACCUGAGUUUAUCCAGCAGGUGGCGCCACACUCCACUCUUUCCUCACUUUUACACCGCAGCUUCAUGCCAACUCACCCAUCUUUGUUUCUACUCCUUCUAGAAUGUCCUACCUUAGGCUCCAAGAAAGUGACUUUUUUUUUUUCAUGUGACAUUUUCACACAUUUCCUGUUUUCAGAGGCGCUUUAAGAGUAGCGCAGUCCGCCUCUUCGUCACCUCGUCUCCUCCUCAUCCUCCUCCGGGCUCUCCGCCGCACCCGAGUGUGGUCCUGACUCCUAAUGAGCAUCUCUUGUAGGAAGAGUUGAUGGUUCAACACCACUGCUGCAUUCAUGCAGCACACAACCCUCCAGCCUGCCUGCGGAAAAGGGAGCGUUGCCAUGGCAACGUGGAGCUGCCAUGGACCAGUGUGUUGCCGCCGUUCGUAGACAAUCUUUGCUGCUGGAGCAACUUGAUGGCCAACGAAUGUUGUCAAUCCCCUGCCUCACCCGUAAUUCUUGUCCCACCAUCAACCUGCCUCUGACCACCAGCGGACCGCCACCCCACAUUUGAUGCUUUAGAUCAGUGGUUCUCAACCUUUUUUCAGUGAUGUACCCCAUGUGAACAUUUUUUUAAUUCUAGUACCCCCUAAUCAGAGCAAAGCCUUUUUGGUUGAAAAAAAGAGAUGAAGAACUAAAAUACAGCACUAUGUCAUCAGUUUCUGAUUUUUGAAAUUAUAUAAAAGUGCAAAAUAUUGCUCAUUUGUAAUGAUCUUUCUUGAGCUAUUUGGAAAAAAGAUAUAAAAAAAACUAAAAACUUGUUGAAAUGUAAACAAGUGAUUCAACUAUAAAUAAAGAUUUCUACACAUAGAAGUAAUCAUCAACUUAAAGUGCCCUCUUUGGGGAUUGUAAUAGAGAUCCAUCUGGAUUCAUCAAUUAAUUCUAAACAUUUCUUCACAAAAAAAAAAAAUCUUUAACAUCAAUAUUUAUGGAACAUGUCCACAAAAAAUCUAGCUGU
Nerophis ophidion (straightnose pipefish) is the source of this 1447-nucleotide long non-coding RNA. RefSeq lists it as uncharacterized. The transcript has 4 exons. The record is from RefSeq and is a predicted model, not a curated record. Lineage: Eukaryota; Metazoa; Chordata; Actinopteri; Syngnathiformes; Syngnathidae.